Molecule: non-coding RNA, 372 nt
Organism: Arvicanthis niloticus (Nile rat)
Lineage: Eukaryota; Metazoa; Chordata; Mammalia; Rodentia; Muridae
Source: the annotation of a RefSeq genome assembly
AUGAACAUGUCCACUCAGCUCCUUAAGUUGCUGCUGUUCUGGCUUACAGGUGGUAAAUGUGACAUCCAGAUGACCCAGUCUCCUGCCUCCCUGUCUGCAUCUCUGGAAGAAAGUGUCACCAUCACAUGCCUGGCAAGUUCAAACAUUGGUAACUGGUUGGCAUGGUAUCAGCAGAAACCAGGGAAAUCUCCUCAGUGCCUGAUCUAUGCUGCAACCAGCUUGGCAAAUGGGGUACCAUCAAGGUUCAGUGGCAGUGGAUCUGGCACAAAGUUUUUUCUUAAGAUCAGUAGCCUACAGGCUGAAGAUGUUGCAAGUUAUUACUGUCUACAAUAUUAUAGUGCUACUCUCACAGUGAUUCAAGCCAUGACAUAA